AAUGUAUUCACACAAAUACAAUAAAAAUGGAAAAAUAACUACCCCUUCUUCAGGCCGUGAUCUUUCUCUCUCGCAAAGGCUCCUAAGAGGAAAUCUGGACUGUUCACAGAAUCCGCAUCAGCCACCAGGCAGGAGAGAAGACUUCAUCAAAGCAGCUUCACUCAUAACGUUGGCAGUUCAAGGCCCAGGAGCACGACUGCUCCAAGGCUGAUUGGUCGGAAGCAAGGCCAGUUCGCCUUCUUGCAAACCAGCAGCCUCUGGAGGGAAAAGGAGGAGCCGAGUUCAACACGACGAACUGCACCGAGGAGACUCUUGGCUGCACCCUGGACACCGGGACUCCACCCCCGCCGCUUAUAUCCCACUCCUGGGGAGCUGCUCCUCCUAGCUCGGCUCUGGACCGGUGGCAGUGGGUUCUGUCAUGCACUGUAUCCUCUGACAGUCCCCUCCCCUCCCCUCCCCUGUGACCGUGGUCCCCAACCUCCUUUCACUUGCGUUACCCGCAGCCCAUUUCCAUCAACACUAACCCUGCAUGUUAGCAAAACGUUUGUAAUUCCGGGAGUUGCCAAAUAGCCCAAUAACUGGAUUCUGCCCUUGUACAUUUUUCUCCCAUGCUGCUAAACGUCCUGGUUUGUACCACAGGCUGGGAGUCAUUGACCUGUGAGCCUCAGACCCUGGGAACGGGGUCAAAUAUGACAUGAAUGAGCCGUGUGAACACACACACACACACACACACACACACACACUUUAUGUGCCUGUUGCCAGCCUCCGAUGCGAGGGGAGGAGGCAAGAAAACACCCUGUUCUCGGGGUGUGCAGUGAACCUAAACCCAAGUGCGCCUCCUAGGAGAGUGACGCUGGGUGAACGGUGGGGUCACACGAAGGUAAGGAGGAAGCAGCGCUAAGGGCCUCCGUUGCAGAAAAAUCCAAGGCAUCUGUUAAGAGACAGGCCAACUCAGAGAGAGAGAGAGAGAAAGAGAGAGAUCCUGCUUUACAGGCUGUGUCUGCAUUUACUCCACUCCACUUCUUUG
RNAcentral lists this long non-coding RNA (1027 nucleotides) under Salvator merianae (Argentine black and white tegu). Its description in RNAcentral is "lncRNA (ENSSMRG00000015222.1)". The record is from RNAcentral. Lineage: Eukaryota; Metazoa; Chordata; Lepidosauria; Squamata; Teiidae.